RNAcentral lists this ribosomal RNA (242 nucleotides) under uncultured bacterium. RNAcentral's name for it is "partial 16S ribosomal RNA". It matches the Rfam family "Bacterial small subunit ribosomal RNA", at positions 91 to 334 of the family's 1533-position model. The record is from RNAcentral.
GGCGCCGGCGCACGGGUGAGUAACACGUAUCCAACCUGCCGAUGACUCGGGGAUAGCCUUUCGAAAGAAAGAUUAAUACCCGAUGGCAUAGUUCUUCCGCAUGGUAGAACUAUUAAAGAAUUUCGGUCAUCGAUGGGGAUGCGUUCCAUUAGGUUGUUGGCGGGGUAACGGCCCACCAAGCCUUCGAUGGAUAGGGGUUCUGAGAGGAAGGCCCCCCACAUUGGAACUGAGACACGGUCCAA